ACAUGAACAGAAAUAACUUCCAAAUAUUGUUGAGAAAAUUGGUAAAAACUGAGUGUCUAAGGCUUGUGCAUGACAAUGGUGGAAACUCCAUCAAUGCGUCCAGCUGAACGUCAUGCGAACGCCAUCAUCAGGCAGCAAGACAGAUUUGAAGUGACAUACUGAUGUCCGGUACCUGACCACCCGAUUCUGUUAGUCGCCUCUUACGACAAGCAUAGACGCGUUUUACGGCAAGCAUGGGUUGCUGAAGACCUAUUCUACCCCGAUCUUCACGAGUCUUUUGAUUUUGGACAUGCAACUAAAUAAAAGCAAAAACCCUUUUCCAUUAUUAUAAAGCUCAAAAA
Molecule: long non-coding RNA, 341 nt
Organism: Haliotis rufescens (red abalone)
Lineage: Eukaryota; Metazoa; Mollusca; Gastropoda; Lepetellida; Haliotidae
Exons: 3
Source: RefSeq, a predicted model, not a curated record